CCUGGAUUCAGCGGCGGACGGGUGAGUAAUGCCUAGGAAUCUGCCUGGUAGUGGGGGAUAACGUCCGGAAACGGGCGCUAAUACCGCAUACGUCCUGAGGGAGAAAGUGGGGGAUCUUCGGACCUCACGCUAUCAGAUGAGCCUAGGUCGGAUUAGCUAGUUGGUGGGGUAAAGGCCUACCAAGGCGACGAUCCGUAACUGGUCUGAGAGGAUGAUCAGUCACACUGGAACUGAGACACGGUCCAGACUCCUACGGGAGGCAGCAGUGGGGAAUAUUGGACAAUGGGCGAAAGCCUGAUCCAGCCAUGCCGCGUGUGUGAAGAAGGUCUUCGGAUUGUAAAGCACUUUAAGUUGGGAGGAAGGGCAGUAAGUUAAUACCUUGCUGUUUUGACGUUACCAACAGAAUAAGCACCGGCUAACUUCGUGCCAGCAGCCGCGGUAAUACGAAGGGUGCGAGCGUUAAUCGGAAUUACUGGGCGUAAAGCGCGCGUACGUGGUUCACCAAGUUGGAUGUGAAAUCCCCGGGCUCAACCUGGGAACUGCAUCCCAAACUACUGAGCUAUAGUACGGUAGAGGGUGGUGGAAUUUCCUGUGGAGCGCUGAGAUGCGUACAUAUACGAUGGAGCACCGCUGGCGAAGGCGACCACCUGCGGUGAGACUGACACUCAUUCGCGCCAACGUGUGGGGCAAACACGAGGAG
RNAcentral lists this ribosomal RNA (700 nucleotides) under uncultured Pseudomonas sp. Its description in RNAcentral is "bacterial SSU rRNA". It matches the Rfam family "Bacterial small subunit ribosomal RNA", at positions 85 to 781 of the family's 1533-position model. Lineage: Bacteria; Pseudomonadati; Pseudomonadota; Gammaproteobacteria; Pseudomonadales; Pseudomonadaceae. The record is from RNAcentral.